UCCACUUCUCGGCCUUUUGGCUAAGAUCAAGUGUAGUAUCGAAGUGUAGUAACAUUUUUAAGGGUUGUAUUCUUUAUUUGAAAAUUUCCCAUCAGACAUGCUUAUAAAUUUAUAUAUCUUUCGUCAGUGUGUGAGAACCUGAAGGUUCCUGAU
Molecule: small nuclear RNA, 153 nt
Filed under: Fukomys damarensis (Damara mole-rat)
Lineage: Eukaryota; Metazoa; Chordata; Mammalia; Rodentia; Bathyergidae
Description: U2 spliceosomal RNA
Rfam family: U2 spliceosomal RNA
About the family: U2 is a small nuclear RNA (snRNA) component of the spliceosome (involved in pre-mRNA splicing).
Source: Rfam by way of RNAcentral